Molecule: long non-coding RNA, 1958 nt
Organism: Vespa velutina
Lineage: Eukaryota; Metazoa; Arthropoda; Insecta; Hymenoptera; Vespidae
Exons: 2
Source: RefSeq, a predicted model, not a curated record
CUUCCAGUCAAGUUUAUACGGUUCGCGUUCUCCAGACUCGCCGAAAGAAAUUCACUCCCAUUAUUCUAGUUUAGAUAAAACCGUAACGGCGUUGCGGCUCGACAAUGGCCUUAGUCAUUUUUAUUUCCGCUCGGGAUACCGGACGUUACAUUAGCUAACGUCUAGAACGCGUUUCUUUAGUUCCGUAAGUAAUUCAUACAAAUCGAUUUGAGUACCGUGUUUCGAAUUUAGAAGAAAGAUAAGGCGCGUUUACGCAAGCAGGCCACCCAGAAUCCCAGAAGAGGAGCGCUGACGUCCUGGGACAUUUCCCGGAUUUUUCAAUCGAUAUUGCGCCGAGUCCCGUGACGUCACGGGAGUAGCCGUGACGCCCGCAAGUGGCCGACGCAUGCGUACUCGAGCACUGGGUUAAUAGGUUAGCUUAUCGAUUAGCAGGUCGUCCCACGGUACAACGAAAAGACUCUCCUCUUUCCUCUUCCUCUCUUUCGAUUCACAAGGCGUUUUAUCCAUCCAUCCUAUGAAACAGCCAGAGUAAUGAUGAAUUACUGAAUAAUCGUUCUAAUUCGUUUAUAUUUAUAAAACAAUAGGAUUUUAUUAAAUAGAUGUUAAAUAUAGGUAAAUCUGAUAUUUAUAUUAAACAUUCUACACUGGGAUUUAACUGAACUGUCUUUUACUAAUUUCUAAUAUCUAAAUAUUUUAUUAAUAUCUCAUGUAUUUCUCAGUUACAUACGCAUAUACUUUGAAGGCAAUUUUUCAAUAAAACUGAUUCUUACUGAUUUGUUUUAUUAACUAAAUGAAAUGAUACGUUAGAGGUGACUCAAGAGUUCUUAGGAAUAAUACAAUUGUCACAUUAGCAGUGACCUCAUAAUACAAAUAGAUAAAUAACUUUCUCUAUACUGAAAGAAGUAUUUUGAAUUUUGUAAAUAUUCUAUAGAGAAAUGAAUAAGUGCUUUUCUCUUUCUAUCACAAAUAUACACACAUAUGUUCUGAUCUUUCUGAAUAAUCUUUUUUCAUCAUUCUAUUUAAAAAAAAAAUAUCGCCACUAUUAUGUUUCAAAUACAUUGUACACAUAUUGAAAUCUCGUAAACAAGAACGGAAAAUAUGCGAUAUUUUCCCAUGUGUCUCUCUUUCUUAUAAUAUGUCAAAAGUCAGUUGCCAGAAAUACUCUUAAAACAGGCCUACCAAAAUAGUGGCGCAUUCGUCGGUAGAGAAAGAGAGAGAGAGAGAAAGAGAGAGAAAGAGAGAGAAAGAGAGAGAAGAUGAGUAUACACAUACUGACAGUACGGCGUUUUAUUCUGGUACACGGUAUUCAGACGUAUCCGAAUUGGAGAAGGAAGAGAGACAAGAAAAUCUAAUAAUUGCGUUUCUCUUUCUCUCUCUCUCUCUCUCUCUCUCUAUCUCUUUCUCUCUCUCUCUCUCUCUCUCUCUAUCUCUUUUUCUCUCUUUCUCUAUCUUCAGCGAGGUAUAAAAAUACACUUACUCACUUCGGCAUACCUUCACCAAAAAAGCACCACUAAGAAUGGAGUCAAAUUACUUUCUGGAGUCGAUAGAUCUUAAUUUUACGAUAAUCUAAGCGUGAAUUAGUUUUCUCUUUCUAUUAUUUCUAUCGAUUUGAAAGAUUCUUUUACAUAGAAAGACAGUAGAUCUAUAGAUAUAUCGAAAUAUCGAGGACAUUCAAAUCUGUGCCAAAGGAACAAAUAAUCUAUGUUAUAUAAUCGAUUUAAGAUUAGAUUAAUAAACAAGUCUUGUACAACCUAUUGAAGAGAACAAAAGUGAAGACGGGAAGAUAGCGAGAAAAGAAGUAAAAAAGACUGACAGAAAUGAGUAAUUUUUUACAGCAGUCUGUGGAAGAAAAUUAAUGGAACGUCGAUGCAGCAGCUUCGAUAUCUAUCUAAGAUGAAAGAAAGGGAGAGAUAAAGAGAGAGAGAGAGAGAGAGAAAGAGAGAGAGAGAGAGAGAAAG